UGGGGAAUCUUGCGCAAUGGGCGAAAGCCUGACGCAGCAACGCCGCGUGGGGGAUGAAGGCCUUCGGGUUGUAAACUCCUUUCAGCAGGGACGAAUCUGACGGUACCUGCAGAAGAAGCCCGCCGCAAUCUACGCUGCCAGCAGCCGCGGUAAUACGUAGGGGCGGCAGCGUUGUUCCGGUCAGUUUUAUUGGGGCGUAAAGAGCUCGUAGGCGGCUUGGCAAGUCGGGUGUGAAACCUCCAGGCUUAACCUGGAGACGCCACUCGAUACUGCCAUGGCUAGAGUCCGGUAGGGACCACGGAAUUCCUGGUGUAGCGGUGAAAUGCGCAGAUAUCAGGAGGAACACCGGUGGCGAAGGCGGUGGUCUUGGGCCGGCACUGACGCUGAGGAGCGAAAGCGUGGGUAGCAAAACA
RNAcentral lists this ribosomal RNA (413 nucleotides) under uncultured Acidimicrobiales bacterium. RNAcentral's name for it is "bacterial SSU rRNA". It matches the Rfam family "Bacterial small subunit ribosomal RNA", at positions 355 to 775 of the family's 1533-position model. Lineage: Bacteria; Bacillati; Actinomycetota; Acidimicrobiia; Acidimicrobiales. The record is from RNAcentral.